Molecule: transfer RNA, 73 nt
Filed under: Mus musculus (house mouse)
Lineage: Eukaryota; Metazoa; Chordata; Mammalia; Rodentia; Muridae
Description: tRNA-Ser
Source: RNAcentral
GGAGAAAUGGCUCAGAGGUUAAGAGCACUGACUGCUCUUCCAGAGGUCCUGAGUUCAAUUCCCAGCAACCACA